Molecule: ribosomal RNA, 468 nt
Filed under: uncultured bacterium
Lineage: Bacteria
Description: partial 16S ribosomal RNA
Rfam family: Bacterial small subunit ribosomal RNA
Source: RNAcentral
GACGAACGCUGGCGGCGUGCUUAACACAUGCAAGUCGAACGGAAAGGCCCUGCUUUUGUGGGGUGCUCGAGUGGCGAACGGGUGAGUAACACGUGAGUAACCUGCCCUUUACUUUGGGAUAACUUCAGGAAACUGGGGCUAAUACCGGAUAGGAGCUCUUGCUGCAUGGUGGGGGUUGGAAAGUUUCGGCGGUUGGGGAUGGACUCGCGGUUUAUCAGCUUGUUGGUGGGGUAGUGGCGUAACAAGGCUUUGACGGGUAGCCGGCCUGCGAGGGUGACCGGCCACAUGAGGACUGGGAUACGGGCCAGACGCCAACGGCAGGCAGCAGUGGGAAACAUUGCACAAUGGGCGGAGGCCUGAAACAGCAACGCCGCGUGCGGGAUGACGGCCUGCGGGGUGGAAACCGCUUUCGCCUGGGACGAAGCGUGAGUGACGGUAAUGGGUAAAGAAGCACCGGCUAACUACGUG